RNAcentral lists this long non-coding RNA (461 nucleotides) under Ictidomys tridecemlineatus (thirteen-lined ground squirrel). RNAcentral describes it as "lncRNA (ENSSTOG00000031345.1)". Lineage: Eukaryota; Metazoa; Chordata; Mammalia; Rodentia; Sciuridae. The record is from RNAcentral.
GUAAUAGGGAAUGAACCCAGGGGUGAUCUACCACUGAGCCAAAUCAGAGUCCUUUUUAUUUUUUUAUUUCAAAACAGGGUCUCACUAAGUUGCUCAUGCUGGCCUUAGACUUGCAAUCCUCUUCCCGCAGGCUCCUGAGUAGCUGAGAUGACAAGCAUGUGCCAUCAUACCUGACUUUGGGUUGUUUCUUUAUGAUGUAUUUCCUAUUCGUUCACAAAUUUACUAUUUGUAUUCAUGUGUUAUGAGGAAAUGAAAGAUCAGAACAAGAUUAUCACAUUUGUCCUCACAACAUUAUGGCUAGGAUUUCUCCAGUGAUGAUUCCAAGUUAGAAUACAACGUAGAUGCUGCAAAUGGCAUUGUUAUGGAAGGAUACCUGUUCAAACGAGCCAGCAAUGCCUUCAAAACUUGGAACAGCCUUCUGAGUCUUUCUUCAAUGAGAUUUACCAAAAAGUCCAGUCUCA